RNAcentral lists this long non-coding RNA (301 nucleotides) under Panax ginseng (ginseng). Its description in RNAcentral is "long non-coding RNA (PGIN_LNC003497)". Lineage: Eukaryota; Viridiplantae; Streptophyta; Magnoliopsida; Apiales; Araliaceae. The record is from RNAcentral.
AUGCUGAGUGCGGCUGGAUGGGUACGCUUCACAGAUUCCCACCAGUAAUCUACCUCAUUACGGAACAUAAAGGUGGCGAAUGGAACCUUCUGUUCCUCGGUACAUCCCAAGAAAUCGAAUAUCUUGUUAAUUUGUUUGACCCACGUUUCUGCCUUAAUUGGAUCCGGCUUUCCCCAGAAUUCUGGUGGUCCCAACUCUUUAAACUGCUUGGCUGUGACAAACCAUGCGUUGUUAUCAUUUCCACCUGUAUUUUGUGCAUGAGUCUCCCUCGUCUGAUUUGAACUGCAAAAAGCUUCUAAAU